Nicotiana tabacum (common tobacco) is the source of this 618-nucleotide long non-coding RNA. RefSeq lists it as uncharacterized. The record is from RefSeq and is a predicted model, not a curated record. NCBI's taxonomy places the organism in Eukaryota, Viridiplantae, Streptophyta, Magnoliopsida, Solanales, Solanaceae.
GUCAAAUUUUUGGGACUUUUGAGCUGAAAAAUGAAGGAAAACAUCUGCAAAGGUAUGAAGCUGAGCAUUUGUUCUUCCAUGAUUGUAUACAUGAAGUUUGAAAUUCCAUGUUAAGCUCCAUGUGAUUAGCAUGUUCUGCAACAUUCUUAUUUAAAUCUGUUUCGUGCAUUACUGUACUUUAAACACAUUAUUAUUGUAUUGAAAUAAUACAUGAUGACAGUCAUGGUAUGAAGUUAUCAAAUGGAAUUGUGAUUUAGCUUGUUUGCCUCCCUAUUCUAUGAUGGAGUAUAUUGUGCUUAUGAUUCUCCACGAAGAAUAAUUUAAGAUUUUUUGUAUAAUUGAUUUUCCAUUAGUCAUGAACAAGUUUGUGGUGUUAGUCAGGUGAUAAGAGCAAUUAAAACUUGCUAGAUAGGAUUUUGAAACUGAAAUUGUAUAAAUAUAUGUGUACCCAUAUUUUGUUCGUUAAGUUUGGUAGGAUUACAUCAAUUGUGGCUAGGAUCAUUUGCCUUUGUAAUAGUUCAAGCUUAAAGUGCGAUUUUUCUCUUUGAUUAGCGUUUUAAUUGUCAAAUAUUUAGCCAGAUUUGUAAUUAUACUAUGCUGUAAUUUAUUGGCCGGUGA